This 208-nucleotide ribosomal RNA is filed under the name uncultured bacterium. Its description in RNAcentral is "partial 16S ribosomal RNA". It matches the Rfam family "Bacterial small subunit ribosomal RNA", at positions 568 to 774 of the family's 1533-position model. The record is from RNAcentral.
CGCGUAGGCGGCCACCGCAAGUCGACUGUGAAAUCUCCGGGCUUAACCCGGAGAGGUCAGCCGAUACUGCGGGGCUAGAGUGCAGAAGGGGCAACUGGAAUUCUCGGUGUAGCGGUGAAAUGCGUAGAUAUCGAGAGGAACACCUGCGGCGAAGGCGGGUUGCUGGGCUGACACGGACGCUGAGGCGCGAAAGCUAGGGGAGCGAACG